UGCAGUCGAGGGGUAACUUUGUUAAUAGCAAUAUUAAUAAGCUAGACCGGCGCACGGGUGCGUAACACGUAUGCAACCUACCUUAUACUGGGGAAUAACUUUGAGAAAUCGGCGCUAAUACCCCAUAACAUUGCGAAAUGGCAUCAUUUUGCAAUUAAAGCUCCGGCGGUAUAAGAUGGGCAUGCGUCCAAUUAGCUAGUUGGUGAGGUAACUGCUCACCAAGGCUACGAUUGGUAGGGGUUCUGAGAGGAUGAUCCCCCACACUGGUACUGAGACACGGACCAGACUCCUACGGGAGGCAGCAGUGAGGAAUAUUGCGCAAUGGACGAAAGUCUGACGCAGCCAUGCCGCGUGCAGGAUGACGGCCCUAUGGGUUGUAAACUGCUUUUGUAUGGGAAUAAACCCUUCUACGUGUAGAAGGCUGAAGGUACCAUAAGAAUAAGCACCGGCUAACUCCGUGCCAGCAGCCGCGGUAAUACGGAGGGUGCAAGCGUUAUCCGGAUUUAUUGGGUUUAAAGGGUCCGUAGGCGGGCCGAUAAGUCAGUGGUGAAAGCCCAUAGCUCAACUAUGGAACUGCCAUUGAUACUGUCGGUCUUGAGUACAAUUGAAGUUGGCGGAAUGUGUAGUGUAGCGGUGAAAUGCUUAGAUAUUACACAGAACACCGAUUGCGAAGGCAGCUGACUAAUUUGUAACUGACGC
RNAcentral lists this ribosomal RNA (699 nucleotides) under uncultured Bacteroidota bacterium. RNAcentral describes it as "bacterial SSU rRNA". It matches the Rfam family "Bacterial small subunit ribosomal RNA", at positions 56 to 746 of the family's 1533-position model. Lineage: Bacteria; Pseudomonadati; Bacteroidota. The record is from RNAcentral.